UUAAGAUACUAAGAGCAUACGGUGGAUGCCUUGGCGAUAUCUGCCGACGAAGGACGUGACAAGCUGCGAAAAGCUGCGGAGAGAUGCAAAUAAUCGGCGACCCGCAGACAUCCGAAUGGAGAAAUCCGGCUGUGAUGAUGCACAGCCAUCCAUGCCCAAGAGCAUGAGAAGGGAACCGGGCGAACUGAAACAUCUAAGUAGCCCGAGGAAAAGAAAUCAAACGAGAUACCCCAAGUAGCGGCGAGCGAACAGGGAAGAAGCCCAAACCGGUGAAGGAAACUUUACCGGGGUUGAGGACCAUCAGAACCGCGAAGAACCUUAGCCGAAACUGUUGGGAAACAGUGCCGAAGACAGUGAAAGCCUGGUAGGCGAAAAAGAGAAACGCGGAGAUGGCACCAGAGUACCGCGGGACACGAGAAAUCCCGUGGGAAGCAGGGGGGACCACCCUCCAAGGCAAAACACAGAUAUCGACCGAUAGCGCAUAGUACCAUGAGGGAAAGGUGAAAAGCACCCCGGGAGGGGAAUGAAAGAGAACCUGAAACCGUAUGUUUACAAGCAGUCGGAGACCGCUUAAUAAUAAGGUCGACGGCGUGCCUAUUGAAGAAUGAACCGGCGAGUUACGAAGCCUGGCAAGGUUAAGCAGGAAAUGCGGAGCCGAAGCGAAAGCGAGUCUUAAGAGGGCGCAAGUCAGGAAGCGUAGACCCGAAACCACAGUGAUCUACCCAUGUCCAGGUUGAAACACAGGUAAAAAUGUGUGGAGGACCGAACCUAUAUCCGUUGAAAAGGGUUAGGAUGAGGUGUGGGUAGGGGUGAAAUUCCAAUCGAACGUGGAGAUAGCUGGUUCUCCCCGAAAUAGCUUUAGGGCUAGCCUCAGGGAAAAGAUUGCAGGCGGUAGAGCACUGAUCAGGAGAGGGACCUACCCGGUUACCAAACCCAGUCAAACUCCGAAUGGCUGCAAUCAUACCUGGGAGUCAGACUGCGACUAAUAAGGGCCGCAGUCAAAAGGGAAACAGCCCAGACCAUCAGCUAAGGUCCCCAAUGCCGUGCUAAGUGGCGAAGGAUGUGGCAUUUCAUAAACAACCAGGAUGUUGGCUCAGAAGCAGCCACCAUUUAAAGAGUGCGUAAUAGCUCACUGGUCGAGAGACGCUGCGCCGAAAAUGUCCGGGGCUCAAGCACGGAACCGAAGCUAUGGCAUGAUAGCAAUAUCAUGGGUAGGGGAGCGUUCUUAUAAGGAAGAAGCAUGACCGGAAGGACAUGUGGACAAAUAAGAAGUGAGAAUGCCGGUAUGAGUAUCGAAAAGAAAGGUGAGAAUCCUUUCCACCGAAAGCCCGAGGGUUCCUGAGCAACGAUCGUCGACUCAGGGUAAGUCGGGACCUAAGCCGAGGCGAGAAGCGUAGGCGAUGGACAACAGGUUGAAAUUCCUGUACCGGAUCAAGUCGAUCGAGCGAAGGAGCGACGCAGGAGGGCACAUGAUCGCGCGGCUGGAAGAGCGCGUCCAAGUGCGUAUGUUGCCGCAGAGGAAAACCCCUGCAGCUAAAAGCAGAGACAUGAAGGGGAGUUAAAGGAAACUUUGACGAACUCAUGGAUCCCACACUGCCAAGAAAAACUUCUAGCGAGACAAGAUCCGCCCGUACCGUAAACCGACACAGGUAGGCGGGGAGAGAAUCCUAAGGUGCGCGGGAAAACCCUCGUUAAGGAACUCGGCAAAUUGCAUCCGUAACCUAGGGAGAAGGAUGGCCCCCGGUCAGUGAAGAGCAGAAACGCUCAGAGCUAAAAGGGGCGGCAGAAAAGAGGCCCAAGCAACUGUUUACCAAAAACACAGGUGCCUGCGAAAGCGAAAGCUGAAGUAUAGGUGCUGACGCCUGCCCGGUGCCGGAAGGUUAAGGAGAGAAGUUAGCGAACGCGAAGCAUCGAACUGAAGCCCCGGUGAACGGCGGCCGUAACUAUAACGGUCCUAAGGUAGCGAAAUUCCUUGUCGGGUAAGUUCCGACCCGCAUGAAAGGCGUAAUGAUUUGGGCACUGUCUCAACGAGGGGCCCGGUGAAAUUGAAAUA
This 2053-nucleotide ribosomal RNA is filed under the name metagenome. Its description in RNAcentral is "bacterial LSU rRNA". It matches the Rfam family "Bacterial large subunit ribosomal RNA", at positions 1 to 2049 of the family's 2925-position model. The record is from RNAcentral.